RNAcentral lists this ribosomal RNA (497 nucleotides) under uncultured bacterium. RNAcentral's name for it is "partial 16S ribosomal RNA". It matches the Rfam family "Bacterial small subunit ribosomal RNA", at positions 28 to 507 of the family's 1533-position model. The record is from RNAcentral.
GAUGAACGCUGGCGGCGUGCCUAAUACAUGCAAGUCGAGCGAACAGACGAGGAGCUUGCUCCUCUGACGUUAGCGGCGGACGGGUGAGUAACACGUGGAUAACCUACCUAUAAGACUGGGAUAACUUCGGGAAACCGGAGCUAAUACCGGAUAAUAUAUUGAACCGCAUGGUUCAAUAGUGAAAGACGGUUUUGCAGUCACUUAUAGAUGGAUCCGCGCCGCAUUAGCUAGUUGGUAAGGUAACGGCUUACCAAGGCAACGAUGCUUAGCCGACCUGAGAGGGGGAUCGGCCACACUGGAACUGAGACACGGUCCAGACUCCUACGGGAGGCAGCAGAAGGGAAUCUUCCGCAAUGGGCGAAAUCCUGACGGAGCAACGCCGCGGGAGUGAUGAAGGUCUUCGGAUCGUAAAACUCUGUUAUUAGGGAAGAACAAAUGUGUAAGUAACUAUGCACGUCUUGACGGUACCUAAUCAGAAAGCCACGGCUAACUACGUG